Molecule: ribosomal RNA, 678 nt
Filed under: Triticum aestivum (bread wheat)
Lineage: Eukaryota; Viridiplantae; Streptophyta; Magnoliopsida; Poales; Poaceae
Description: partial small subunit ribosomal RNA
Source: RNAcentral
AUGAUAUUUGGGCCACAGCUGUAUUGUCCAGAAUGGCUGUGGUGGAAACAUCAGUUGUUCCUGAAUGCAUUCAGAAUACUAUUAAAACUUUUGAAGAUGUUUUUCAAGAACCUAAAGGAUUACCCCCUCAGAGAAUUUGAUCAUGCUAUUUCUCUUCUUCCAAACAGUGCACCUGUGAAUUCCAGGCCCUAUAGAUACUCGCCCUUACAAAAAGAUGAGAUCAAGAGGCAAGUAGCGGAGAUGAUCCAAGCAGGAAUUGUGAAACCUAGCAUGUCACCCUAUGCAUCACCUGUCUUGUUGGUCAAGAAAAAAGAUGGAAUAUGGAGAUUUUGUGUGGAUUAUAGAAGACUGAAUUCAGUGACAGUAAAAAGCAAGUUUCCUUUGCCUGUCGUAGAUGAGUUGCUGGAUGAACUGGCAGGUGCAAAGUGGUUUUCCAAAUUAGAUCUCAGGUCUAGUUAUCACCAGAUACGAAUGGUGGAAAGUGACGAGGAAAAAACUGCCUUCAAAACACAUCAAGGGCAAUAUCAAUUUAGAGUUAUGCCUUUUGGGUUGACAAAUGCUCCAGCUACCUUCCAAUGUUUAAUGAAUGCAAUUUUUGCAAGAUUUAUCAGAAAAUUUGUGCUAGUAUUCAUGGACGAUAUUCUGAUAUUUAGUGAAGAUUUGGAACAACAUCAAUAG